Molecule: RNA transcript, 3479 nt
Organism: Coffea arabica (coffee)
Lineage: Eukaryota; Viridiplantae; Streptophyta; Magnoliopsida; Gentianales; Rubiaceae
Source: RefSeq, a predicted model, not a curated record
ACUACUAUAGUACUACGCUGAAGUCAGAGUUCUGUGUUUUCUCCUCCGUGGCUCCGUCGCAUGAAGUUUACACUUCACUUCAAGAGGCGCAAAAAUACGGAGGGACAUCACCAAUUCUACUCUUUAUCCACCACCACCACCUCCUCCUCCUCUGCCUCCCAAACCCCAAUGUGUAGUAGUCCCUCUCACCUUCAACAGCCCCACCAAGAAGAAAAUCAAGCCAAUGAAUCUCCCCAAACCCUAGAGCCCAUAAACCCCAUCAAUCAACCCGAACCGGAUCAAGAGAACCCACAUCAGGAAAAAUCCAAUCUUGAUCGCCUGCAACAGCAAAACGACCCGGAACAGGAAGAAGAGGAGGAAGAUCAGGAGGACCAAGAAAACCCAGGUAUAAUUCUGUCUGCUUUUCCUCCUCCCCCUUCUUCCAUUGAUGUUGUUGUGGCUGACGUCAGGAUGCCGUCACUGAACCCUCCAAAAAGGCUUAAUAAAAGGAAGAAGGGUAAAGGGAGUCUUAAGAAACAGCUGACCAUUCAGAAGAAAUUGCAUACCCUUUUGGAGAAUUUGAACCCUGUUCCUUUUAUACCCUCUAAGAUUCUUGAUUUUACGAAGCAUGAGAAGUUGCUCAAGAGACUGGGGUUGUGGGAUUUUUUCCAUAUUGAAUUUGAUAGGAAUAUAAGGUCUGACUUGAUUGCUCAGUUGAUUGCUACCUAUGAUCCUAAACUAAGGUGUAGUUAUGUUAAUGAGUUUAGGAUUGCCGUUAAUCGGGCAGACUUAGCGAGGGCGUUUAAGUUGCCUGUUAAGAAAGAGAAAAGUGGGAACUUGGUGGCUGCUGAGGGGGUGGACUUGGAUUUCGAGGCAUUGUCCGAGGAAUCCAUUAGCUUCAUUGAGGGUUUUGUUUCUAAUUGGGUGCUUUUGCACGAGGAUACUUGGAUGAUGCCGAAUGAGGUGUUGAAUUGGACCAAGGCAAUCAAAGACGGCCAUCCUGAAAAGGUGGAUUGGGCAGGGCUGUUUUGGUUCAUGGUUGAGAAGGAGUUGUUGAAAGGGGAACAGUUGGUUGAUUGCUAUUAUGCGUCGCAUUUGCAGUAUUUGAUCAAGUCGCAGCGGGAGGAGGUGAUGGUGAGGGAGCCAAGGGAGGGGCAGGAUAUGGUGGACUUGGAUGCGGAGGAGGAGGAGGAGGUGUUAGUGAGGGAGGAGCAGGAUAAAGUGGAAUUGGAUGGGAAGGAGGACGUGGUAGCAAAGGAGCAGGAUAGAGUGGAGUUGGACGUGGAGAAGGUGGUUUUGAUGGCAGAGCAGGACAUGGUGGAGUUGAAUCCUGGGGUAAAAGAGGAAGGGGAUGGUGGUAAUGACGUUGGUGAUAUGACAAAGGGUGGUUUGAGUAUAGUUCCGGAACAGGAAAAUGAUGUAUUGGUAGGGCCGAAUAUUGAGUUGACUCUUGGGCAAGAUGGUGGUGAAAAGGAAGACGUGAAAGUUGCUGACGUGAUGGAUGUUGAGGAGCGCAGGGAGGAUGAGGAGCAGCAGGAGAAGGAGCAGGAGCACAGACAGUGGCUUUUGCAUGGAAGAAACAAUGUAGGUGAGCAUUUCAUGCAACCUUGUAAUAUGGAAGAUGCCAGUGGAUUUGAUAGUCUUGAGGAGAGGCAAGAGGAAGGGGAUGAGCUGGAGGGGGAGAGGGAGGAGGAGGAGGAGGAUGGAGAAGAAGAGGAAGAGGAUGGAUUUGAUGUUGGACCACAUGAUGAUACUCUUGAAGGGGAUGGACUAACGGGCAAUUUUCUUCAAGCUUUGGAGACAACACAGAUUACAUAUGGUUCACAAGGACAUCUUCAUGAUGAUUCUUCAGUUGAUCUUGUUGCUGAUAGGAAUGACUUGCAGCAUAUGGCUGCAGGUGGCCCAUCAUUCUAUGGUAACACAGGUAAGAGAGAGCUUGACCAUGAGCAUGAUGUCUCUCAUCAUCCUCUUAAUGGUAGCAAUAAGAGAUUAAGGAUUGACGGUCCAUGGGAUAACAAACCAUUGGAUUUUGGGACCUGCAUGGACCAAAUGCAACAACUUAUGGGCCGCGCUAGGCUGAUGUACCAGGAGAAGGUGCAGGCUCAGGAACAAGCAAGCUUUAAUCAGCAGGUAUUACUUAAUGAGGUGCAGAAAAGGGACAGUAUGAUCGAGCAUUUGCAUAAGAGCAAGUGUGAAGAAAUACAGAAAAGAGAUGCAGAGAUCUUUCGUCUACAACGUGAGCUGUAUCUAAUGGGAAAUAUUUUGGAAGACUACAGAAAGGCCUUAAAGCAAACCAACAAAGCAUUUGCUGAAUAUAGGCAGAAAUGUCAGCUUCCUGAAGAAUCAAUCUACAAAGAUGCUGGUCCGGGAGGGGUUGUAUUGACCACUGCAGAAAUAGAGAAGCAACGUCUGAAAGAAGAAGAAGAAUAUAGAUUGGCUUGCUUAAUUUUGGAGCAGAAGGCUAAGGCAGCUGAGGAAGGAUAUGCAUUCCAAUUUGGGGAAUACCUAAACAAGGUUGUUUGGCUGGAUAAGAGGUUGGCAGACCUUGAGAAGGGUGUGGAAGAGCUUAGAGAUUAUCAUUCAAAGGCCAAGGUUUCAGAAACUGAACAGAAAGCUGGUGAAAAUUCAGAAUUUGAAACUGAACAGAAGGUCGUUGUAACUUCAGCAUUUGAAACUGACCAGAAAAUUGUGGAAGUUUCAGAAUGCGAUGUAGAGAAAGUUGUGGAAACUUCAGAAACUGAAACUGAAGAGAAAGUUGUGGAAAAUUUGCAAAUUGAAACUGAAGAGAAAGUUGUGGAAACUUCAGAAAUGGAAACCGAAGAGAAAGCUGUGGAAACUUCAGAAAUGGAAACCGAAGCAGAAAUGGAAACCGAAGAGAAAGCUGUGGAAACUUCAGAAAUGGAAACUGAAGAGAAAGUUGUGAAAACUUCAGAAUGUCCUCCAAGUGGAUGAAGUGCUGUCCCAAUAUAUUUACUUUUGUUUGGCUGAAGUGAAGCAUGCAAAUUUGCCAUCAAGCACUCAUCAUCAAGUAUUCAUUUGGAGAGUGGAUUAUUUCUUUGGCCUAUGACGCUAUUGUUUAGUUUAUGGCAAUUUUCUCUAUCUGAGCAAAUAGUGGCACAUUUAACCAUGAAUCAACUCAUGAGAAUGUUGGACUUCACUAUGAAGAAACUAAUUGCUGGUGGAGUUUCCAGGGUUUCUGCUCAAAGGAUUUGACUGUUUUGAAAUAUAUUUGUUUGCACUUAUCGUAAUCGUAUCCGCCAACUCUAGCCCCGUGCUGGCGACAUAUCUGGAUCCUGAUUCAUAUGAACUUGAGUUAUGACUUAUCAUGAAUCUGUGCAUAGUUGACUAAAUGUUUGCUUACUUGGUAUGUGGCCUCUUCAGACUGUAUAUCAGAUAUAGGAUGAGAGUUGUAAAACUUGCUUAUUCCUAGUUCAAAUGUAGUUUAGAUUUGUCCGGAUGGAGUUCACACAAAUGAAGCUGCUCCUGUUUUUGCUGUGUUC